CCUACGGGAGGCAGCAGCCGAGAAUAUUUGUCAAUGGGCGAAAGCCUGAACGAGCGACGCCGCGUGUGGGAAGAAGGUUUUCGGAUUGUAAACCACUUUUAUUCGGGAGAAAUCCGCAAGGGUGAUAGUACCGAAUGAAUAAGUGGUUCCCAACUCUGUGCCAGCAGGAGCGGUAAUACAGAGACCCCGAGCGUUAUCCGGAUUUAUUGGGCGUAAAGAGUGAGCAGGAGGUUUGGCAAGUUUAAUGUUAAAUGUCAGGGCUUAACCUUGAGGCCGCAUUGAAUACUGCCAGACUAGAGGAUGUUAGAGGCAGAUGGAACAGCCGGUGUAGGGGUGAAAUCCGUUGAUAUCGCAAGGAACACCAAAGGCGAAGGCAUUCUGCUGGAACAUUCCUGACUCUGAGACACGAAAGCGUGGGGAGCAAAAAGGAUUAGAUACCCCGGUAGUCC
RNAcentral lists this ribosomal RNA (449 nucleotides) under uncultured Parcubacteria group bacterium. RNAcentral's name for it is "bacterial SSU rRNA". It matches the Rfam family "Bacterial small subunit ribosomal RNA", at positions 338 to 796 of the family's 1533-position model. The record is from RNAcentral.